AACCAUUCUCACCUGCGGCUAGACCUGCGGAAGGAUCAUUACCGAGUGCGGGCCCUCUGGGUCCAACCUCCCACCCGUGUUUAUUAUACCUUGUUGCUUCGGCGGGCCCGCCAGCCCUGGCCGCCGGGGGCUUCCGCCCCGGGCCCGCGCCCGCCGAGGACACCAUCGAACGCUGUCUUGAAGUAUGCAGUCUGAGUGGGUUAUAAAAUUAGUUAAAACUUUUAACAACGGAUCUCAGAU
RNAcentral lists this unclassified non-coding RNA (240 nucleotides) under soil metagenome. Its description in RNAcentral is "partial contains 5.8S ribosomal RNA, internal transcribed spacer 2, and large subunit ribosomal RNA". The record is from RNAcentral.